AAUUUGAGGACAAACAUAAUGCAAGCAAAUUAUUUAACAUGCCCCAAGAUUACAAAUAAAACCUAGAUAGCAUAAAGGUACCAAUUUAUUAUCCAAAUAAACAAAACUCACAGUACUUGAAAUUUCUCCAACCCUUCUUAAAUUCUUUCAAAUCUCAUUCAAAUCAAAAUACACAGACAAUACUCACCCAUAUUAUUGAAAAAUGGCUAUUAGUGCCAAGGUUUGGUUCAAAG
This 233-nucleotide unclassified non-coding RNA is filed under the name Hevea brasiliensis (rubber tree). The record is from RNAcentral. Lineage: Eukaryota; Viridiplantae; Streptophyta; Magnoliopsida; Malpighiales; Euphorbiaceae.